Molecule: ribosomal RNA, 333 nt
Filed under: uncultured eukaryote
Lineage: Eukaryota
Description: partial 18S ribosomal RNA
Rfam family: Eukaryotic small subunit ribosomal RNA
Source: RNAcentral
CCCUUAGAUGUUCUGGGCUGCACGCGCGCUACACUGAUGCGCUCAACAAGUUUAUGACCUUGCCCGGAAGGGUUGGGUAAUCUUCUUAGCACGCAUCGUGAUGGGGAUAGAUUAUUGCAAUUAUUAAUCUUCAACGAGGAAUUCCUAGUAAGCGCGAGUCAUCAGCUCGUGCUGAUUACGUCCCUGCCCUUUGUACACACCGCCCGUCGCUACUGCCAACUGAGAUGGGUCCUGAAUUGUUAGGAACGCCCGUCAAGGGGCCUACCCGGCCCCUAGUGCGGUGACGAGAAUAACUGUAAAUGGCAUAUCUUGUAGGGAGUAAAAGUCGUAACA